This 598-nucleotide ribosomal RNA is filed under the name uncultured Enterococcus sp. RNAcentral describes it as "bacterial SSU rRNA". It matches the Rfam family "Bacterial small subunit ribosomal RNA", at positions 304 to 893 of the family's 1533-position model. The record is from RNAcentral. Lineage: Bacteria; Bacillati; Bacillota; Bacilli; Lactobacillales; Enterococcaceae.
UCGGCCACAUUGGGACUGAGACACGGCCCAAACUCCUACGGGAGGCAGCAGUAGGGAAUCUUCGGCAAUGGACGAAAGUCUGACCGAGCAACGCCGCGUGAGUGAAGAAGGUUUUCGGAUCGUAAAACUCUGUUGUUAGAGAAGAACAAGGAUGAGAGUAACUGUUCAUCCCUUGACGGUAUCUAACCAGAAAGCCACGGCUAACUACGUGCCAGCAGCCGCGGUAAUACGUAGGUGGCAAGCGUUGUCCGGAUUUAUUGGGCGUAAAGCGAGCGCAGGCGGUUUCUUAAGUCUGAUGUGAAAGCCCCCGGCUCAACCGGGGAGGGUCAUUGGAAACUGGGAGACUUGAGUGCAGAAGAGGAGAGUGGAAUUCCAUGUGUAGCGGUGAAAUGCGUAGAUAUAUGGAGGAACACCAGUGGCGAAGGCGGCUCUCUGGUCUGUAACUGACGCUGAGGCUCGAAAGCGUGGGGAGCAAACAGGAUUAGAUACCCUGGUAGUCCACGCCGUAAACGAUGAGUGCUAAGUGUUGGAGGGUUUCCGCCCUUCAGUGCUGCAGCUAACGCAUUAAGCACUCCGCCUGGGGAGUACGACCGCAAGG